GACGAACCGUGCGACCGUUGUUCGGAAUCACUGGGCUUAAAGGGCGCGUAGGCGGACUGCCAAGUCCGGGGUGAAAUCUUUCGGCUCAACCGGAAAAUAGCCUCGGAGACUGGCGGUCUGGAGGGAGGUAGGGGCAGCUGGAACUUCCGGUGGAGCGGUGAAAUGCGUUGAUAUCGGAAGGAACGCCGGUGGCGAAAGCGAGCUGCUGGACCUUUUCUGACGCUGAGGCGCGAAAGCCAGGGGAGCAAACGGG
RNAcentral lists this ribosomal RNA (253 nucleotides) under uncultured bacterium. Its description in RNAcentral is "partial 16S ribosomal RNA". It matches the Rfam family "Bacterial small subunit ribosomal RNA", at positions 524 to 776 of the family's 1533-position model. The record is from RNAcentral.